AGAUACGAUGGUCCCUUGAGGGAAUCCCAAGAGCAGAUCCUGCCCAACGACCUUCAUGCGGGAGGUGACUUGGAAGUGUAUUCCGAAGCCACUUUUCUGCGUAGACUGGAGGGUUACAGCAAUGUGUGAGUGAAGGCUGCUGAGGAGGCUCAGUGGUUAAGAGCAGUGGCUACAGCUCUCAGAAGGUAGAAACAGGUCCAGGGGAUCUGACACCCUCUCUGACCUCAGUGGACACCGCAUGCAUGUAGUGCACAGGUAUACAUGCAGGCAAAAUACACACAUAAAGUAAAAAUAAGUAAAUCUUAAUAUUUUAAUAAAAAAAUCACAACAAGGUGUGUGAGAGCCCUUAUGGUGGCACAUGGGCCAGGAGUGGCCAUUUGUUAUUAUUUUUCUUGACA
Long non-coding RNA from Acomys russatus (golden spiny mouse), 398 nucleotides. RefSeq lists it as uncharacterized. Lineage: Eukaryota; Metazoa; Chordata; Mammalia; Rodentia; Muridae. The record is from RefSeq and is a predicted model, not a curated record. The transcript is spliced from 3 exons.